RNAcentral lists this unclassified non-coding RNA (264 nucleotides) under plant metagenome. RNAcentral's name for it is "partial contains small subunit ribosomal RNA, internal transcribed spacer 1, and 5.8S ribosomal RNA". The record is from RNAcentral.
GUUUCCGUAGGUGAACCUGCGGAAGGAUCAUUAUUGUAUAACCGAGGUGCGAGGGCUGUCGCUGACCCGAAAGGUCGUGCACGCCCGAGUGCCCUCACACACAUCCAUCUCACCCCUAUGUGCACCACCGCGUGGGACCCCCUUUGGCUUGUUCGGAGGGGGGCUUACGUUUUCACACAAACUUUGUAUGCAGUGUAGAAUGUAUUUUUUGUUUUUGCGAUCACGCAAUCAAUACAACUUUCAACAACGGAUCUCUUGGCUCUC